This 379-nucleotide unclassified non-coding RNA is filed under the name uncultured Rickettsiales bacterium. RNAcentral's name for it is "contains 16S-23S intergenic spacer region". The record is from RNAcentral. Lineage: Bacteria; Pseudomonadati; Pseudomonadota; Alphaproteobacteria; Rickettsiales.
UCCGGCUUAUCACCGGCAGUUUUCUCAGAGUUCUCAGCUUGACCUGUUAGCAACAGAGAAUGAGGGUUGCGCUCGUUGCGGGACUUAACCCAACAUCUCACGACACGAGCUGACGACAGCCAUGCAGCACCUGUGCACCUCCCACCCGAAGUGAAGGAUUCCUUUUCGGGAAUCCAUAGAGGGCAUACAAAUCCUGGUAAGGUUCUUCGCGUUGCCUCGAAUUAAACCACAUGUUCCACCGCUUGUGCGGGUCCCCGUCAAUUUCUUUGAGUUUUAAUCUUGCGACCGUACUCCCCAGGCGGGAUGCUUAACGCGUUAGCUACGCUACUGAGAGGUAUCCCCCCAACAGCUAGCAUCCAUCGUUUACAGCGUGGACUAC